This 85-nucleotide transfer RNA is filed under the name Felis catus (domestic cat). It matches the Rfam family "tRNA". From Rfam's summary of the family: Transfer RNA (tRNA) molecules are approximately 80 nucleotides in length. The record is from Rfam by way of RNAcentral. Lineage: Eukaryota; Metazoa; Chordata; Mammalia; Carnivora; Felidae.
GCCUGGGUGGCUCAGUCGGUUAAGCAUCUGACUUCCACUCAGGUCAUGAUCUCGUGGUCUGUGGGUUCGAGCCCCGCACUGGGCU